AGACCUUCUUGGCCUUUUGGCUAAGAUCAAGCGCAGCAUCCGGGCUGUUUCCUUCUUGAUCUGUUCUUCUUCCGCUUUAUACCUGAU
Non-coding RNA from Diplonema papillatum, 87 nucleotides. NCBI's taxonomy places the organism in Eukaryota, Euglenozoa, Diplonemea, Diplonemida, Diplonemidae. The record is from the annotation of a GenBank genome assembly.